AGCGGAGCGUGUGGUUAAUUCGAUGGUACGCGAAGAACUUACCAGGGUUUGACAUCGGCACGGUGGUAGGGAGUCCGAAGGUGAACGACCUUCGGGAGCCUGCACAGGUGCUGCAUGGCUGUCGUCAGCUCGUGUCGGUGAGAUGUUCGGUUAAGUCCGCUAACGAGCGCAACCCUCGUCGUGUGUUACAAGUGUCACACGAGACCGCCGGUUUAAGCCGGAGAAAGGUGAGGAUGAAGUCAAGUCAGCAUGGCCUUUAUAUCCUGGGCUACACACACGCUACAAUGGCUGGUACAAUUGGUCGCGAAACCGCGAGGUGGAGCCAAUCCUUAAAGCCAGCCUCAGUUCAGAUUGUAGGCUGCAACUCGCCUGCAUGAAGAUGGAGUUGCUAGUAAACGCAGGUCAGCAUUACUGCGUUGAAUACGUUCCCGGGGAUU
Molecule: ribosomal RNA, 437 nt
Filed under: uncultured Levilinea sp.
Lineage: Bacteria; Bacillati; Chloroflexota; Anaerolineae; Anaerolineales; Anaerolineaceae
Description: bacterial SSU rRNA
Rfam family: Bacterial small subunit ribosomal RNA
Source: RNAcentral